RNAcentral lists this RNase P RNA (381 nucleotides) under Pedobacter psychrotolerans. RNAcentral's name for it is "Bacterial RNase P class A". It matches the Rfam family "Bacterial RNase P class A". Rfam says of the family: Ribonuclease P (RNase P) is a ubiquitous endoribonuclease, found in archaea, bacteria and eukarya as well as chloroplasts and mitochondria. Its best characterised activity is the generation of mature 5'-ends of tRNAs by cleaving the 5'-leader elements of precursor-tRNAs. Cellular RNase Ps are ribonucleoproteins. The record is from RNAcentral. Lineage: Bacteria; Pseudomonadati; Bacteroidota; Sphingobacteriia; Sphingobacteriales; Sphingobacteriaceae.
AAUGCAGGUUGUUCUAUCGCUGUUUCGAUUUAUCGGAAGAGAGGAAAGUCCGGGCAACGCAGGGCAUCCCGCUUUCUAACGGAAAGGGAUUGAGGAUUGAAAACCUGAAUCACGGAUUAGUGCAACAGAAAAUAUACCGUCUCAACUUUACGUUGGGAUAAGGGUGAAAACGUGUGGUAAGAGCGCACGAGCAUUGCAGGCGACUGUAGUGGUUUGUAAACCCCGGGAGUUGAAAGACCAAAUAGGCUAACGCAUGUAGGGCUGCCCGUCCGAUGUUAGUGGGUAGGUCGUUAGAGAUAAACGGCAACGUUUAUACUGGAUUAAUGAUAGAAAUUCUGAGCAAUCAGAAAACAGAACCCGGCUUAUAGACCUGCAUUUUUU